This 333-nucleotide ribosomal RNA is filed under the name uncultured Bacillota bacterium. RNAcentral describes it as "bacterial SSU rRNA". It matches the Rfam family "Bacterial small subunit ribosomal RNA", at positions 28 to 351 of the family's 1533-position model. Lineage: Bacteria; Bacillati; Bacillota. The record is from RNAcentral.
GACGAACGCUGGCGGCGUGCCUAACACAUGCAAGUCGAACGGAGAUACUUUUGAAGCUUGCGAUAGAGUAUCUUAGUGGCGGACGGGUGAGUAACGCGUGGGUAAUCUGCCCAUAAGUGGGGAACAACAGUUGGAAACGACUGCUAAUACCGCAUAAUCUGCCGUAAGGUAGGAAAGGUGGCCUCUGAAUAUGCUGCCGCUUAUGGAUGAGCCCGCGUCUGAUUAGCUAGUUGGUGGGGUAAAGGCCUACCAAGGCGACGAUCAGUAGCCGGCCUGAGAGGGUGAACGGCCACACUGGGACUGAGACACGGCCCAGACUCCUACGGGAGGCAG